GACGAACGCUGGCGGCGUGCCUAAUACAUGCAAGUAGAACGCACAGUUUAUACCGUAGCUUGCUACACCAUAGACUGUGAGUUGCGAACGGGUGAGUAACGCGUAGGUAACCUGCCUGGUAGCGGGGGAUAACUAUUGGAAACGAUAGCUAAUACCGCAUAAUAUUAAUUAUUGCAUGAUAAUUAAUUGAAAGGUGCAAUUGCACCACUACCAGAUGGACCUGCGUUGUAUUAGCUAGUAGGAGAGGUAACGGCUCACCUAGGCGACGAUACAUAGCCGACCUGAGAGGGUGGUCGGCCACACUGGGACUGAGACACGGCCCAGACUCCUACGGGAGGCAGCAGUAGGGAAUCUUCGGCAAUGGACGAAAGUCUGACCGAGCAACGCCGCGGGAGUGGAGAAGGUUUUCGGAUCGUAAAGCUCUGUUGUAAGAGAAGAACGGGUGUGAGAGUGGAAAGUUCACACUGUGACGGUAUCUUACCAGAAAGGGACGGCUAACUACGUG
This 505-nucleotide ribosomal RNA is filed under the name uncultured bacterium. Its description in RNAcentral is "partial 16S ribosomal RNA". It matches the Rfam family "Bacterial small subunit ribosomal RNA", at positions 28 to 507 of the family's 1533-position model. The record is from RNAcentral.